This 460-nucleotide ribosomal RNA is filed under the name uncultured bacterium. Its description in RNAcentral is "partial 16S ribosomal RNA". It matches the Rfam family "Bacterial small subunit ribosomal RNA", at positions 338 to 795 of the family's 1533-position model. The record is from RNAcentral.
CCUACGGGGGGCUGCAGUGAGGAAUAUUGGUCAAUGGACGAGAGUCUGAACCAACCAAGUAGCGUGAAGGAUGACUGCCCUAUGGGUUGUAAACUUCUUUUAUAUGGGAAUAAAAUGUUCCACGUGUGGGAUUUUGUAUGUACCAUAUGAAUAAGGAUCGGCUAACUCCGUGCCAGCAGCCGCGGUAAUACGGAGGAUCCGAGCGUUAUCCGGAUUUAUUGGGUUUAAAGGGAGCGUAGGUGGAUUGUUAAGUCAGUUGUGAAAGUUUGCGGCUCAACCGUAAAAUUGCAGUUGAAACUGGCAGUCUUGAGUACAGUAGAGGUGGGCGGAAUUCGUGGUGUAGCGGUGAAAUGCUUAGAUAUCACGAAGAACUCCGAUUGCGAAGGCAGUUCACUGGACUGCAACUGACACUGAGGCUCGAAAGUGUGGGUAUCAAACAGGAUUAGAUACCCGUGUAGUC